This 345-nucleotide unclassified non-coding RNA is filed under the name soil metagenome. RNAcentral's name for it is "partial contains 5.8S ribosomal RNA, internal transcribed spacer 2, and large subunit ribosomal RNA". The stretch from base 1 to 120 matches the Rfam family "5.8S ribosomal RNA", at positions 35 to 154 of the family's 154-position model. The record is from RNAcentral.
GAUGAAGAACGCAGUGAAAUGCGAUACGUAAUGUGAAUUGCAGAAUUCAGUGAAUCAUCGAGUCUUUGAACGCACAUUGCGCCCCCUGGUAUUCCGGGGGGCAUGCCUGUCCGAGCGUCAUUGCUGCCCUCAAGCGCGGCUUGUGUGUUGGGCCUCCGUCCUCCUCCCGGGGGACGGGCCCGAAAGGCAGCGGCGGCACCGCGUCCGGUCCUCGAGCGUAUGGGGCUUCGUCACCCGCUCUUGUAGGCCCGGCCGGCGCUUGCCGACACAUCAAUCUUUUUUCCAGGUUGACCUCGGAUCAGGUAGGGAUACCCGCUGAACUUAAGCAUAUCAAUAAGCGGAGGA